UGCAAGUCGAACGAUGAAGCCCUUCGGGGUGGAUUAGUGGCGAACGGGUGAGUAACACGUGGGCAAUCUGCCCUGCACUCUGGGACAAGCCCUGGAAACGGGGUCUAAUACCGGAUAACACCCCCUCUCGCAUGGGAGGGGGUUGAAAGCUCCGGCGGUGCAGGAUGAGCCCGCGGCCUAUCAGCUUGUUGGUGAGGUAGAAGCUCACCAAGGCGACGACGGGUAGCCGGCCUGAGAGGGCGACCGGCCACACUGGGACUGAGACACGGCCCAGACUCCUACGGGAGGCAGCAGUGGGGAAUAUUGCACAAUGGGCGAAAGCCUGAUGCAGCGACGCCGCGUGAGGGAUGACGGCCUUCGGGUUGUAAACCUCUUUCAGCAGGGAAGAAGCGAAAGUGACGGUACCUGCAGAAGAAGCGCCGGCUAACUACGUGCCAGCAGCCGCGGUAAUACGUAGGGCGCAAGCGUUGUCCGGAAUUAUUGGGCGUAAAGAGCUCGUAGGCGGCUUGUCACGUCGGUUGUGAAAGCCCGGGGCUUAACCCCGGGUCUGCAGUCGAUACGGGCAGGCUAGAGUGUGGUAGGGGAGAUCGGAAUUCCUGGUGUAGCGGUGAAAUGCGCAGAUAUCAGGAGGAACACCGGUGGCGAAGGCGGAUCUCUGGGCCAUUACUGACGCUGAGG
This 678-nucleotide ribosomal RNA is filed under the name Streptomyces sp. YIM 56026. RNAcentral describes it as "bacterial SSU rRNA". It matches the Rfam family "Bacterial small subunit ribosomal RNA", at positions 56 to 751 of the family's 1533-position model. The record is from RNAcentral. Lineage: Bacteria; Bacillati; Actinomycetota; Actinomycetes; Kitasatosporales; Streptomycetaceae.